UGGGGCGUUACAACUUUCUUCUUCCUGUCGCGACUAAUCCCCCUUAUUCCGGCAACCGCCAUCACCUUCGUUCUCGCGGCAGCCAGAGGUAGUCGAGAUGCAGGGUGAAACACCCAAUACCAGAAUCUAAUCCAAGAAAAAAGAAAAAAAAAACAAAAAUCCACUUUGAACCCUAACCCCAAAAUUCUGCCAUCAAUUUUCUUUCUGUCUUCCCCUCAAACACUCUACGCGCAACCUCUACCCUCCUGCAUUUAGAGUAAAUUUCUGUCAUCCCAACCCACCCAUUGUGCGAAGCAACUUCAUCACAUAUCCAGGGUUCCUACCCUUCAAAUACCG
RNAcentral lists this long non-coding RNA (336 nucleotides) under Vigna radiata. RNAcentral's name for it is "long non-coding RNA (VRAD_LNC003206)". The record is from RNAcentral. Lineage: Eukaryota; Viridiplantae; Streptophyta; Magnoliopsida; Fabales; Fabaceae.